RNAcentral lists this ribosomal RNA (461 nucleotides) under uncultured bacterium. Its description in RNAcentral is "SSU rRNA". It matches the Rfam family "Bacterial small subunit ribosomal RNA", at positions 26 to 518 of the family's 1533-position model. The record is from RNAcentral.
AGAAUCAACGCUGGCGGCGUGCCUAACACAUGCAAGUCGAACGAGAAAGUGGAGCAAUCCAUGAGUAAAGUGGCGCACGGGUGAGUAACACGUGACUAACCUACCCUUGAGUGGGGGAUAACCUAGAGAAAUCUGGGCUAAUACCGCAUAAUACCUUCGGGUCAAAGGAGCAAUUCGCUUUAGGAGGGGGUCGCGGCCGAUUAGUUAGUUGGCGGGGUAAUGGCCCACCAAGACUGUGAUCGGUAUCCGGCCUGAGAGGGCGCACGGACACACUGGAACUGAAACACGGUCCAGACUCCUACGGGAGGCAGCAGUGGGGAAUUUUGCGCAAUGGGGGAAACCCUGACGCAGCAACGCCGCGUGGAGGAUGAAGCCCCGUUGGGGCGUAAACUCCUUUCGAUCGGGAAGAUAAUGACGGUACCGAGAGAAGAAGCCCCGGCUAACUUCGCGCCAGCAGCCGC